This is a long non-coding RNA of Echinops telfairi (small Madagascar hedgehog), 363 nucleotides long. RefSeq lists it as uncharacterized. The transcript has 3 exons. The record is from RefSeq and is a predicted model, not a curated record. Lineage: Eukaryota; Metazoa; Chordata; Mammalia; Afrosoricida; Tenrecidae.
AACGGAGCAAAAGAAAGCCGAAGGAAGACGACGUGAUGGUUUUAAACUGAUACUGGCCCAGGGAAAGGCGGUUUGCCCCCAGGCAGAAUGUAGUCGAAAACAGAUGAACUGGUCUGCAGGAAAGUGCUCACACCCAGGAUGAUGGAACGCACACAAAGAGUCUACCCAGACAGAGAUGAAGUGACCUGCCCUAAACGAGACCUUCGGAUGGUUUCCUGGGUUCGCUAUCAUAAAUCCAGAACACCAGAACUGCUCUUCGGGAAUUUCACAGCCUCUGUCCUGGGUACACGCAGAUGCUUUCCUUCUUCUGGAUGAUCGUCUUUGUCCUGUUUAAGGCUCGAUAAAAUGGUUUCUGUACAAUAA